Long non-coding RNA from Cheilinus undulatus (humphead wrasse), 476 nucleotides. RefSeq lists it as uncharacterized. The transcript is spliced from 4 exons. NCBI's taxonomy places the organism in Eukaryota, Metazoa, Chordata, Actinopteri, Labriformes, Labridae. The record is from RefSeq and is a predicted model, not a curated record.
GAGCAAUCUUUCAUCAUGGGGGAGCACAUGUUUUCAGCAGCUAGAAAUUUAUGGUCAUUCUGCACGGAUGGAAACAUCUUAUUAAUGUGUUAUUACUAAUGAUAGUAUUUUAAGACUCGACUUCAGCUCCAAUAGUAGAAAAUGAGAAAAUAGACAUUUGUUUUAUGAAUAAAAACGCGUUUGGGAGCAGCAGCGUGAGUAGGCCGCAGCAGCUUUUCAAGUGUGAUGGUAAUUAAUAACACAGAACCGGACAGGGUGAUGGUGCAGUGACCACGUCUCUACACGUGACAGCAGGUCAGCUAAGGCCUCCGAGAGGAGCUUUGCUGUUGAUGGAUCUUUGUAAUCAAAGAAUUCUCUCAGACUGCUGUGCUCAAAGACUGGAAGUACAAAAGGUAUACAAACAAGCUCUAUAUGCAUUCUGAACAAAAUUUUGCAGUGUAUUUUUCUGAAUAAAAAUAAAGCAUUUAAAACACGAA